This 743-nucleotide ribosomal RNA is filed under the name uncultured Bacilli bacterium. RNAcentral's name for it is "bacterial SSU rRNA". It matches the Rfam family "Bacterial small subunit ribosomal RNA", at positions 31 to 745 of the family's 1533-position model. Lineage: Bacteria; Bacillati; Bacillota; Bacilli. The record is from RNAcentral.
GAACGCUGGCGGCGUGCCUAAUACAUGCAAGUCGAACGCUUCUUUUUCCACCGGAGCUUGCUCCACCGGAAAAAGAGGAGUGGCGAACGGGUGAGUAACACGUGGGUAACCUGCCCAUCAGAAGGGGAUAACACUUGGAAACAGGUGCUAAUACCGUAUAACAAUCAAAACCGCAUGGUUUUGAUUUGAAAGGCGCUUUCGGGUGUCGCUGAUGGAUGGACCCGCGGUGCAUUAGCUAGUUGGUGAGGUAACGGCUCACCAAGGCCACGAUGCAUAGCCGACCUGAGAGGGUGAUCGGCCACAUUGGGACUGAGACACGGCCCAAACUCCUACGGGAGGCAGCAGUAGGGAAUCUUCGGCAAUGGACGAAAGUCUGACCGAGCAACGCCGCGUGAGUGAAGAAGGUUUUCGGAUCGUAAAACUCUGUUGUUAGAGAAGAACAAGGAUGAGAGUAACUGUUCAUCCCUUGACGGUAUCUAACCAGAAAGCCACGGCUAACUACGUGCCAGCAGCCGCGGUAAUACGUAGGUGGCAAGCGUUGUCCGGAUUUAUUGGGCGUAAAGCGAGCGCAGGCGGUUUCUUAAGUCUGAUGUGAAAGCCCCCGGCUCAACCGGGGAGGGUCAUUGGAAACUGGGAGACUUGAGUGCAGAAGAGGAGAGUGGAAUUCCAUGUGUAGCGGUGAAAUGCGUAGAUAUAUGGAGGAACACCAGUGGCGAAGGCGGCUCUCUGGUCUGUAACUGACG